RNAcentral lists this small nuclear RNA (23 nucleotides) under Arabidopsis thaliana (thale cress). RNAcentral describes it as "snRNA_13482". Lineage: Eukaryota; Viridiplantae; Streptophyta; Magnoliopsida; Brassicales; Brassicaceae. The record is from RNAcentral.
ACUGAGUAAUACUAGAUUACUCA